This 310-nucleotide long non-coding RNA is filed under the name Vitis vinifera (wine grape). Its description in RNAcentral is "long non-coding RNA (VVIN_LNC007367)". Lineage: Eukaryota; Viridiplantae; Streptophyta; Magnoliopsida; Vitales; Vitaceae. The record is from RNAcentral.
AAAUAAAAAUAAAAAAUGGAAGGGAGGAGUUGGGGAGAUGGCUGUUGGGUGUGUUCUCUUAGGGGAGAGAAAAAAGAAAAAAAAACAUGGGGAGCAGACCCAAAAAAAGGGCGAGCUAUGUGGGUCUCUUUUUUUUGGCAAAGAAAGGGUUGGAGAGUUGGAAGAAGGAGAAUAGAGGGAGGAGUCCCGCGUGGGAAGGGAAAAUGGGGGGAAAAUGGAGGGAAAAAUAGGGGGAAAUGAAAAGAGAAUUAAAAAAAAAUAAAAUUAAAAAAGGAGAGAUUUUGAUGGUGGCCGGUGGUGUGGGAAGAGA